This 255-nucleotide ribosomal RNA is filed under the name Catenulispora pinistramenti. RNAcentral describes it as "Catenulispora sp. NL8 partial 23S ribosomal RNA". It matches the Rfam family "Bacterial large subunit ribosomal RNA", at positions 269 to 479 of the family's 2925-position model. Lineage: Bacteria; Bacillati; Actinomycetota; Actinomycetes; Catenulisporales; Catenulisporaceae. The record is from RNAcentral.
CUAAACCGUUUGCGUGUGAUACCCGGCAGGGGUUGCGCAGGCGGGGUCGUGGGACUUCUCAGUCAGAUCUGCCGGUCUGGCACAGAGUAAGAAACCAGUUGUGUAGUCGAAGGCGAUGCGAAAGCGCCGGCAUAGUGGGUAAAACCCCCGUAGACGAAACAUGACUGGCUCUGGAGGAGUAUCCCAAGUAGCACGGGGCCCGAGAAAUCCCGUGUGAAUCUGGCGGGACCACCCGCUAAGCCUGAAUACUCCCUG